AACGAACGCUGGCGGCGCGCCUAAUACAUGCAAGUCGAACGAGAAGCUGUAGCAAUACAGUUGUACAGUGGCGAACGGGUGAGGAAUACAUGGGUGACCUACCCUCGAGUGGGGAAUAACCAGCCGAAAGGUUGGCUAAUACCGCGUACGCUUCCCAGUCUACGGGUUGGGAAGGAAAGCGAUGCCGUGGGUAUCGCGCUCAAGGUUGGGCUCAUGUCCUAUCAGCUUGNGGUGGGGUAACGGCUCACCAAGGCAACGACGGGUAGCUGGUCUGAGAGGACGAUCAGCCACACUGGCACUGCGACACGGGCCAGACUCCUACGGGAGGCAGCAGUAAGGAAUAUUGCGCAAUGGGCGAAAGCCUGACGCAGCGACGCCGCGUGGGGGAGUGAA
Molecule: ribosomal RNA, 393 nt
Filed under: uncultured bacterium
Lineage: Bacteria
Description: bacterial SSU rRNA
Rfam family: Bacterial small subunit ribosomal RNA
Source: RNAcentral